CCGUACAAACUUCCCAAAUCUUAUACGUUAACCAGGAAAACGUCGAGUGUAAGGAGGAGACAUCAGGAGGCAGGACUCUGUCUGGAGGAGCAAAGGAAAAGACCAAAGUACUGCCUGGAGAGAACUCUGAGGAAAAUGGGGAGCUAAGAUACUUGCUGUCCUCAGGAGGAGGGGAGACGUCUGGGGCAGGAGACCCAUCCUGGAAACCAGUGGAUCUCCAUGGGAAUGAAAUCUUGUCAGGGGGCGGAGGACCCGGAGGAACAGGGCAGGCUAUGCACGGGCCUGUGAAGCUAGGAGGGACACCCCCUGCAGAUGGAAAGUGCUUUGCUUGCUUGUGUGGAAAACGGUUUGCAGUCAAGCCGAAACGAGACCGACACAUCAUGUUGAC
RNAcentral lists this long non-coding RNA (388 nucleotides) under Rattus norvegicus (Norway rat). RNAcentral's name for it is "long non-coding RNA NONRATT017153". The record is from RNAcentral. Lineage: Eukaryota; Metazoa; Chordata; Mammalia; Rodentia; Muridae.